RNAcentral lists this long non-coding RNA (263 nucleotides) under Spirodela polyrhiza (greater duckweed). Its description in RNAcentral is "long non-coding RNA (SPOL_LNC001783)". The record is from RNAcentral. Lineage: Eukaryota; Viridiplantae; Streptophyta; Magnoliopsida; Alismatales; Araceae.
UGAGCAUCACCCUGGUGCCGAAUCCUUCGCCGCCGCAGACCCCCUUGACGCCGCCCUCUGCUUCCCCCGGCGGCUCCCACAUUCCCUCGUCUCCGACGGCGGCGCCGGGGUACUCCUACAGCCCCCACCAGCAGCACCACCAUCCUGUGAACCAGGGAUUCUCACCCUACAGCAGCUACAUCGUCCCCUGGGCCCAGCAAAUCCCGACCCAGCAGCCCCCAGCCGAGCCGCCGAUGCCCCAGUUCCGAACCCAGCAGCCUCAG